This 118-nucleotide ribosomal RNA is filed under the name Dorea formicigenerans. RNAcentral also lists the same sequence under 1 other name. Lineage: Bacteria; Bacillati; Bacillota; Clostridia; Lachnospirales; Lachnospiraceae. The record is from RNAcentral.
UCUGGUGGCGAUGCGCUUAGGGGACACACCCGUUCCCAUCCCGAACACGAUGGUUAAGACCUAAGCGGCCGAUGGUACUUUACUGGAGACGGUACGGGAGAGUAGGUGGCUGCCAGAG